GACGGCAGCUUAACUGUCGCAGUGCCUUUGAUACUGUAGGACUUGAAUCUAUUUGAAGUGGGCGGAAUAAGACAAGUAGCGGUGAAAUGCAUAGAUAUGUCUUAGAACUCCGAUUGCGAAGGCAGCUCACUAAGUUAGUAUUGACGCUGAUGCACGAAAGCGUGGGGAUCAAACAGGAUUAGAUACCCUGGUAGUCCACGCCCUAAACGAUGAUAACUCGAUGUUUGCGAUACACAGUAAGCGUCCAAGCGAAAGCGUUAAGUUAUCCACCUGGGGAGUACGGUCGCAAGAUUGAAACUCAAAGGAAUUGACGGGGGCCCGCACAAGCGGAGGAGCAUGUGGUUUAAUUCGAUGAUACGCGAGGAACCUUACCCGGGCUUGAAAGUUAGUGAAUGAUCCAGAGACGGAUCAGUCCUUCGGGACACGAAACUAGGUGCUGCAUGGCUGUCGUCAGCUCGUGCCGUGAGGUGUUGGGUUAAGUCCCGCAACGAGCGCAACCCCUAUGUUUAGUUGCCAGCACAUUAAGGUGGGGACUCUAAACAGACUGCCAGCGUAAGCUGUGAGGAAGGUGGGGACGACGUCAAGUCAUCAUGGCCCUUACGUCCGGGGCUACACACGUGCUACAAUGGAUGGUACAGCGGGCAGCUACAUAGCAAUAUGGUGCUAAUCUCUAAAAGCCAUUCACAGUUCGGAUUGAGGUCUGCAACUCGACCUCAUGAAGUUGGAUUCGCUAGUAAUCGCGUAUCAGCAAUGACGCGGUGAAUACGUUCCCGGGCCUUGUACACACCGCCCGUCAAGCCAUGAAAGUUGGGGGUACCUAAAGCAUGUAACCGCAAGGAGC
This 841-nucleotide ribosomal RNA is filed under the name Sphingobacterium anhuiense. RNAcentral describes it as "bacterial SSU rRNA". It matches the Rfam family "Bacterial small subunit ribosomal RNA", at positions 600 to 1453 of the family's 1533-position model. The record is from RNAcentral. Lineage: Bacteria; Pseudomonadati; Bacteroidota; Sphingobacteriia; Sphingobacteriales; Sphingobacteriaceae.